This is a long non-coding RNA of Dermacentor albipictus, 955 nucleotides long. RefSeq lists it as uncharacterized. NCBI's taxonomy places the organism in Eukaryota, Metazoa, Arthropoda, Arachnida, Ixodida, Ixodidae. The record is from RefSeq and is a predicted model, not a curated record.
GACACGCGCUUCCACGGCUUACACGAUUUCUGCACUUCUUUCAGGACACAUCGGCCAUCGCCAAGUUGAUCCAACAACCAUGCGCUGCUUUUACCAUCUGCGAUAACCGGCCACGCCCCCGCUCUCGGCAGUUUGGCAGUGGCAGUGGCGAGCGACGGACACGCGCUUCCACGGCUUACACGAUUUUUGCACUUCUUUCAGGUCUGCUCCUGCUUUGGCCGUCUGUCUGUCAUCCAGCUUUGUUCCUGGAAUUUAUUGCCGCCUACGUGGGCUGAACAACUUGGUUAAAGCAGUUAUAUUUCUUCGACACUCAGGACACAUCGGCCGUCGCCAAGUUGACACAACAACCAUGCGCUGCUUUUACCAUCUGCGAUAACCGGCCACGCCCCCGCUCUCGGCAGUUUGGCAGUGGCAGUGGCGAGCGAUGGACACAUGCUUCCACGGCUUGCACAAUUUCUGCACUUCUUUCAGGACACAUCGGCCGUCGCCAAGUUGAUACAACAACCAUGCGCUGCUUUUACCAUCUGCGAUAACCGGCCACGCCCCCGCUCUCGGCAGUUUGGCAGUGGCAGUGGCGAGCGACGGACACGUGCUUCCACGGCUUACACGAUUUCUGCACUUCUUUCAGCUUGCCAGACUUUUCCUCGGAACCGUCGUCCCUGCUGCUGCCUUCACGCAGCUGACUGCACCAUCACCGCUGCAAUCGCACGUGGCUGAGAUCGAGGAAGCUGUGCAGGUCUGCACUAUCGCCCACGUGUGUCAUGGGUGCGGGCCAUCAAUCCGCUCAUCUCUGCCGCUAGACACCGCCCUCAACUUUGCCAUUCCUGACAAACCAAUCAGCAACCCUCCCAGCUCAGCGACAUCAUCAGGCAGGGGUUUAAAAGUCCUGUGUGUGGUUCCCCUCAUCAGUGGGCAGCUUGGCAACAGCUACGGAAUGUCGCCUAAAUGCUGUUUC